AGCUUGCUUGUUGGGGUUGUAGGACACUCUAUACGGAGUUACAAAGGACGACAUUAGACGAAUCAUCUGGAAAGAUGAAUCAAAGAAGGUAAUAAUCCUGUAGUCGAAAAUGUUGUCUCUCUUGAGUGGAUCCUGAGUACGACGGAACACGUGAAAUUCCGUCGGAAUCUGGGAGGACCAUCUCCUAAGGCUAAAUACUCUCUAGUGACCGAUAGUGAACCAGUACCGUGAGGGAAAGGUGAAAAGCACCCCGGAAGGGGAGUGAAAUAGAACCUGAAACCGUGUGCUUACAA
RNAcentral lists this ribosomal RNA (293 nucleotides) under Staphylococcus aureus. RNAcentral describes it as "partial 23S ribosomal RNA". It matches the Rfam family "Bacterial large subunit ribosomal RNA", at positions 282 to 569 of the family's 2925-position model. Lineage: Bacteria; Bacillati; Bacillota; Bacilli; Caryophanales; Staphylococcaceae. The record is from RNAcentral.